UAGCUCAGAAGCAACGGAAUGAGGAUUGGU
This 30-nucleotide non-coding RNA is filed under the name Homo sapiens (human). The record is from RNAcentral. Lineage: Eukaryota; Metazoa; Chordata; Mammalia; Primates; Hominidae.